RNAcentral lists this ribosomal RNA (422 nucleotides) under uncultured bacterium. RNAcentral's name for it is "bacterial SSU rRNA". It matches the Rfam family "Bacterial small subunit ribosomal RNA", at positions 358 to 772 of the family's 1533-position model. The record is from RNAcentral.
GGAAUAUUGGACAAUGGGGGAAACCCUGAUCCAGCGACGCCGCGUGGGUGAAGAAGGCCUGCGGGUUGUAAAGCCCUUUCGGUAGGGACGAAAGCCCCCGACCUAACACGUCGGGAGGAUGACGUAACCUACAAAAGAAGCACCGGCUAACCCUGGCCCAGCAGCCGCGGUAAUACAGAGGGUGCGAGCGUUAAUCGGAAUUACUGGGCGUAAAGCGCACGUGGGCGGCUUGGCAUGUCGGGUGUGAAAUCCCCGGGCUCAACCUGGGAACUGCAUCCGAAACUGCCUUGCUAGAGUAUGGGAGAGGGAAGUGGAAUUUCCGGUGUAGCGGUGAAAUGCGUAGAUAUCGGAAGGAACAUCAGUGGCGAAGGCGACUUCCUGGACCAAUACUGACGCUCAGGUGCGAAAGCGUGGGGAGCAAA